CCAAAUCUUGAGUUUGAUUUAUAUUGCAUUAUAUUUAACCAAAAAUAAUAAUAAUAACAAAAGGUAUCAUGUUUCCACUACACUCUUCUUGCGAGACCAUUUUCACGCCUUCCUUCAUCCCAAUAAUUUUAAUUUUUUAAUUUUUAUUAUAUUUUAUCCCAAUAAGGUAUAUCUUCAUCAUCUCUCCACUCAAUCAAAAACAUCAAUUAUUUAUCUCCUUGAGUAUGUGAGGUUGCUUGUUUUUACUGCAAAACAAUAAAAAAUUCGGAACUUGAUUUUUUCUUACGAGCACAUUGCUGCAAAACAAUAAAAAACCGAUAACUUGAUUUUAUUUUAUGAACACAUUGUUGCAAAACAAUAAAAAACCUAUAACUUAAUUUUAUCUCAUGAACACAUUGCUGCAAAAUAAUAAAAAAAUCAGGAACUUAAUUUUAUCUCAUGAACACAAAGAUUCACCACUUUAGUCUAUAAAUGGAGACAGAAAAAUCAUUCGGGAAAGAGGGGUUUUGGGAUAAAGAUCAGAUACUAUUUAUCAUUAAAAAAACAAACAGUAAGAAGAGAGUUUUAUUUUUAAGAAAAAAAAAAUCUAAAGAUAGAAAAUCAUUUAAGAGAAAAUAAGAGAAAAAAAAUAGAAAAUGAGAAUUAGAGCCAUCGCUGUAAUUUCAACUUUCACCAGGUAACCGCCGAAUACCACUGUGAACCUUUACACCACCCCUUUACACCACUGUUGUCUGCCUUCUCAUUUGUUGUUCUACACGGAUCUGCAUCUCAUGGUUCGGUCUCUAUCACUUUAACAUUUUAACGUUUGGUGUUGACAUAUUUAAUUUCUAUGAUAGUUGGUUGCUUUCUUAAAAGUUGAUCUCAUCUUAAAAAAUUAUACUUAUUAUUCGUUUAAAGUUGAGAGAUUUAUUGUCAAAAUAAUGCAUUCAAAUAUAUUGACAAUCUUGAAUGGUAGAGAGGGGUGUAUCCGUUAAGUAUUCUUUUUAUCUAGAAACCAGUCUUUCUUUAUGCGUGCAAGCUAGCUUUAUCAAUGCCAGUUACAUUCUUUUUCUUUCUUUCAUUAUGCGUGCAAGCUGUAACAACAUCAAGUGUCUUUUUGUAGGUUGUAACAACAGAAAAUGUACUUUUUUAUUUAAU
RNAcentral lists this long non-coding RNA (1137 nucleotides) under Cicer arietinum (chickpea). RNAcentral's name for it is "long non-coding RNA (CARI_LNC000651)". Lineage: Eukaryota; Viridiplantae; Streptophyta; Magnoliopsida; Fabales; Fabaceae. The record is from RNAcentral.